Molecule: transfer RNA, 83 nt
Organism: Blastocystis hominis
Lineage: Eukaryota; Bigyra; Opalinata; Blastocystidae
Rfam family: tRNA
About the family: Transfer RNA (tRNA) molecules are approximately 80 nucleotides in length. Their secondary structure includes four short double-helical elements and three loops (D, anti-codon, and T loops).
Source: Rfam
GCACGUUUGCCCGAGUGGUCUAAGGGGGUGGAUUCAAGUCCCACUGUACGGAGUACUCGUGGGUUCAAAUCCCACAGCGUGCA